AAAUUCGGCCCUAGACGAGACGGACACGGACCUCGUCUCUCUUCUGCUUCUACCCGGCGAAACGCGGCGGCCGCCGAGAUCCGCUCCGCGCAGCCUCGCCGCCGCGUUCGAGGAGGGAGCCUGUUUGGGAUAUUUGGGAUGCGGGCCAGCGGCGCGGCAACGCCGCGGGUGGUGGGGCGGACGCGCACCUCUACGACGACCCGGACGAUGCCGCCGUACCGGCGCUCCUCGACUCCCACUUCGACGGCGGCAAGUUCGACGCGCCCAAGCACCUUCUCGCCCUCAUCUCUCUGGGCAUCGACGUCGCCCACCUCUCGACGCAGGCGGUCAUGAACUGGAGGCGUAGUCGUUUGAGGUGAAGAAGCCCGCGUACUUGCUCCACUACGCUGAGAAGUAAUGAAUCUGAUUGGAGAUGUUAAGAGGAAAAGUGUCUGUUAUGAUGGAUGAUAUGAUUGGUACAGCAGGAACUAUUGCCAAGGGAGAUGAGCUGCUGCAUCAAGAAAGAGCAAGAGAAGUCUAUGCAUGUUGUACACCUGCUGUUUAGCCCACCAGCCAUUGAGAGAUUAUCAAGUGGUUUGUUUCAAGAAGUAAUCAUCAUGAACACUAUCCCUUCAAAGAAGCAUUCAAGACUUUAUUGAGCAAGGCAAGCAACCUACUUUGAUCAUGUUGAACCCAUAUUUGCAUUACACACUUAAGAUUAUUUUGCAUGCAUAAAGUAUUGUUUACUAGUAUUGCUAUGCUAAGUAAAUUAGCUAGGGUUUAGCUAUGCUCUAUGUGCUUGAUAUUGACACCCCCUUUGACAUUCUUAAUACCCCUCGUUUCUAACCGGAGGAAUACAUACCCACUUGUCACAAAUAAAUGUGGGUCAUAGGCGCAAGUUUAAUAGUGCUUAGCCAUGCAAGUCAUAUAAAUCCUAGGACUGGGGAAUAAUUGUAGCACAUUACCCCAAUAUGGGACGAGGCUGAACUUAGUACCUUGGUCUGUUUAGUGUAGAGCCCUCACUAGGUGGAUACCUUGUACACCGUGACGAGAGUGGAAAAAUAUCAAUCAUGGGGGACUAUGUACCAUCAGGUGGACUCUAUAGUUGCAUCAUUCUUGAGAAAAGUUUUGUUCGAUUGUUCAAGUCGCGUAGACCUAGCACCAAGAUACCUUCAAGAUGCAAAGGCCUGCAUCUUUAAUUGUACAAAGUGCAACUUAGUCAGAGUUUCUCCUCUCUCAAGCUUAAGCCUUUCUCUAAACCAAACCUAUCCUAGGAAACCCAACCUAGUUAUCAAGGAUGUGAUAGCAUGGACUUAUAUCGAUGUACUUAACUUAUGGAAUUGCAAGAGGACCCAUUAAGCACCAACAACUUUUGAUUGGAAUGAAGCCCUACAUGAAAUUGUGAUUUUGUGAGUCAAUCAUGUUACAUCCUUAAGCCCCCAAUAUGCACCAAGUUGGGUGGUGCCAUAUUGAAAUGGUUUUCAUCAGUUAGAAGAUGAGGUAGUUUGAUGGUGAUGUAGAAGUGGUAUUGGGGAGAUAGAAGUCAAAGAUGUACGGUGGAUUAUGAGAUUUUAGGGCUAGUAGGUGAGCAUGAUGAUUAUUUUAUAAAUGGAUAAACAUAUCUUUAAUUAAUAUUGAAACAAUUUGGAUUUAGUUUGGUGAUUGUGAUCUUGAAGCAAAUUUCACGGUGGAUUAUGAGAUUUUAUGUGGAUUUAGUUAUGUGAUUGUGAUCUUAAGGAGAUAGUUAAAAAUGUUCGGUGCAUUAUGAGAUUUUAGAGCUAGUAGGUGAGCAUGAUGAUUAUUAUAUUGUUUAAUAAACAUAUAUUUGAUUAAUCUGUAAACAAUUUGGCUUUAGUAAGGUGAUUACGAUCUUUAACUAAAUUUCAUGGUGAUUUAUGGGAUUUUAGUCUAGUAUGUGAGCAUGAUGAUUAUUAAAUUGUUGAAUAACGAAUCUUCAAUUAAUAUUACAAUAAUGUAUUUAGUUAAGUGAUAGUGAUCUUGAACCAAAUUUUACGGAGCAUUAUGAGAUUUUAGGUGGAUUUAGUUACAUGAUGUGCUCUUGAGAAGAUAGUCAAAGAUGUUUGGUGGAUUAUGAGAUUUUUGGGCUAGUCGGUGAGCAUGAUGAUUAUUCUAUUUGUGGAUACAUAUAUCUUUUAUUAAUAUUGGAGCAAUAUAAAUUUAGUUAGGUGAUUGUGAUUUUCGACCGAAUUUCAUGGUGGAUUAUGAUAUCUUAGCCUGGAUUUAGUUAGGUGAUUGUGAUCUUGAGAAUACAGUCAAAGAUGUUUGGUGGAUUAUGAGAUUUUAAGUCUAUGAUAUCUUACCCUGGAUUUAGUUAGGUGAUUGUGAUCGUGAGAAUACAGUUAAAGAUGUUUGGUGGAUUAUGAGAUUUUAAGUCUAGUAUGAGCAUGGCUAUAUUAUAUUGGUUGAUAAACAUAUCUUUCAUUAAUCCUGGAACAAUUUGGAUUUAGUUAGGUGAUUGAAAUCUUGAAGCAAAUUUGACAACGGGUUAUGAGUUUUUGGUGGCUCUACUAGGGUGAUUGUAAUCUUGAGGAGAUAGUCAAAGAUGUUCGGUGGAUUAUGAGAUUUUAGGUCUAGUAUGAGCAUGACUACUAUUUGGUGGAUAAACAUAUUUUCAAUUAAUCCUGGAUUAAUUUGGAUUUAUUUAUGUGAUUUUGAUGUUGAAGCAAAUUCGAUGAUGGACUAUGAAUUUUGAUGGAUUUAAUUAGGUGCUUGUGAUCUUGAGGAGAUAGUAAAAAUGUUAGGUGGAUUAUGAGAUUUUAGGUCUAGUAUGUCAGAAUGACGAUUAUUAUAUUGAUGGAUAAACAGAUCUUCAAAUAAUCUUGGAACACUUCAAAUUAGUUAGGUGAUUGUGAUUUUGAACCAAAUUUCACAAUGGAUUAUGAUAUCUUAGCCUGGAUUUAGUUAGGUGAUUAUCAUCUUGAGAAGAUAGUCAAAGAUGUUCCAUCAAUUAUGAGAUUUUAGAUAUAGUAUGAGCAUGUCUACUAUUUUAUGAAUAAAUAACCAUAUUUUGAGUUAAUCUUGGAACAUUUUGGAUUUAUUUAGGUGAUUGUCUUCUUGAAGCAAAUUUGAUGAUGGAUUAUGAGGUUUUGAUGAAUUUAGUUAGGUGAUUCUAAUCGUGAGUAGAUAGACAAAGAUGUUCGAAGGAUUAUGAGGUUUUUGGUUUAGUACCAGCAUGAUGACUACUACUAUAUUGGUUGAUAAACAUAUUUUCAAUUAAUCUUGAAUUCUUUUGGAUUUAGUUAGGUGAUUGUGAUCUUGAAGCAAAUUUGAUGAUGGAUGAAGAGUUUUUGAUAGAUUUAGUUACGUGUUUAUGAUUUUGAGGAGAUAUUCAAAGAAUGUUGUGGAUUAUGAGAUUUGUGAGAAUGGUGAUUAUAUUGGUGGAUAAACAUAUUUUUAAUUAAUUUUGAAACACUUUGGAUUUAUUUAAGAGAUAGUCAAAGAUGUUUGGUGGAUUUAGUUUGGUUAUUGUGAUCCUGAGGUGAUAAUAGUUAAAGAUCUUUGGUGGUUUAUGAGACUUUAUGUCUAGUAUGAGCAUGGUAUAUUAUAUUGGUGGAUAAACAUAUCUUUCGUUAUUCUUGGAACAAUUUGAAUUUAGUUAGGUGAUUGUCAUCUUGAAGCAAAUUUUAUGAUGGAUUAUGAGUUUUUGGUGGAUCUACUUAGGUGAUUGGGAUCUUUAGGAGAUAUUCAGAGAUGUUCGGUGCAUUAUGAAAUUUUAGGUCUAGUAUAAACAUGACUACUAUUAUAUUGGUGGAUAACAUAUUUUCGAUUAAUCUUGAAAUAAAUUGGAUUUAGUUAGUGAUUGUGAUCUUGAAGCAAAUUUGCCGGUGGAUUUAGUUAGUUGGUUUUGAUCUUGAGGAGAUAGUCAAAUAUGUUUGGUGGAUUAUGAGAUUUUUGAUCUAGUAUGAGCAUGACUAUUAUUAUGUUGGUGGAUAAACAUAUCUUUAAUUAAUCUCGAAAGAAAUUUGAUUUAGUUAGGUGAUUAUCACCUUGAAACGAAUUUGACUAUGGUUUAUGAGCGUUCAGUGGAUUUUAGUUGGGUCACUUUGAUUUUAAGGCGAUAGUCAAAGAUGUUCGGUGGAUUAUGAGCUUUUAGGGUUUGUAUGAGCAUAAUUACUAUUAUGUUGGUGGAUAAACAUAUUUUUAAUUACUCUUGGAACAACUUGGAUUUAGUUAGGUGAUUAUCAUCUUCAAGCAAAUUUGAUGAUGGUUUAUGAGUUUUUAGUGAAUUUAGUUAGGACAUUGUGGUUUUGAGAAGAUAGUCAAAGAUGUUCGGUGGAAUAUUAGUUUUCAGUGGAGUUAGUUUGGUGAUUGUGAUCCUGAGGAGAUAGUUAAAAAUGUUCGGUGGAUUAUGAGAAUUUUAAGUGUAGUAUGAGCAUGGCUAUAUUAUAUUGGUUGAUAAACAUAUCUUCAACUUCGGAUUUAGUUAGGUGAUAGUGUUCGGUGGAUUAUGAUAUUUUAGGUCUAGUACGUGAGCAUGGUGAUCAUUAUAUUGGUGGAUAUACAUAUCUUCAAGUAAUUUUGAAACACAUUGGAUUUAGCUACGUGAUUGUGAUCUUGAAGUAAAUUUGUCGGUGAAUUAAUGAGAUUUUAGGUGGAUUUAGCUAGGUGAUUGUGCUAUUGAGCAGACAGUUAAAGAUGUUCGGUGGAUUUUAAGAUAGGGUAAUAAGUGAGCAUAACUAUAAUUGUAUUGGUUGAUAAACAGAUCUUUAACUAAUCUGGGAGCAAUUUUAAUUUAGUUAGGUAAUUUAGUUGGAUUUAGUUUGGUAAUUGUGGUCUUGAGGAGAUGGUCAAAGAUGUUUGGUGUAUAUGUGAUUUUAGGUAUAGUAUGGGCAUGCCUACGUUUAUAUUGGUAGGUUAACAUAUGUUCGAUUAAUCUUGGAAUAAUUUGGAUCUAGUUAUGUGAUUGUGAUCUUGAAGCAAAUUUGACGGUGGAUUAUGAGUUUUUGGUGGAUUUAGUUUGUAGAUUGCGAUCUUGAGGAGAUAGUUAAAGAUCUUUAGUGGAUUAUGAGAUUUUAAGUCUAGCAUGAGCAUGGCUCUAUAAUAUUGGUGGAUAAACAUAUGUUUUGUUAAUCUUGGAACACACGAAUACGCGUAGAGAACUAAGUAUGAACCAUGGCAGCAAAACCUUAUAGAUAAGACCUCACUACAAGAAGAAAUAAAGUAUAUCCAAGUGUGUCGAGAGAAGUCACUAGUGAUGACCUCCUUUCGAGUCAAAGGGAGAUGGACCCCCGACAUCAGAGUGAACAAGGUCGGAAAGACGUUGAGACACUGCCUCGCUAUGAGUAUAAGGUAUUUGGACAUGUUUACAUAGCCGACAACCUUGAUGGUUUAGAGACAUCGUCAGAGAUGGAUCCAAGAAGACCACGUCAUACUAAGGAUGAGAGAUCAAGUGACCCAAGGCGAUGAUGCCGCUGCUGAAAAUAAUUGGUAGAAAAGGCAACAGAGGCAGAGACUGGCGGUGGAGGCAGCAGAGGGACUUGAUCCAGCAUCCCAUGUGCAUGUGCACUUUCCGUACCUUGCCGAUCCGGAUUGGUGUUCUUCUCCUGUUUGCAGGUUGUGGGUCAUGCACUUGAUUAAGCACCCUAGGUUCUCCUACUGUGCGCCCUUGGCCCCGGCUUUAGGUAGCGCCUUGUCCUCGGCUCAUCCCGUGCAUAAUCCAGGUACGCGUCGACUGUCCGAGCUCGUGCUCACCAUUGGUGGUGCUCGAGCGUGCGGUUAUGGUGUCGCACAACAAGGGAACACGGGAUGUGGGAUUGAGACAGCACCCAUAGCAACCCGCAGCAAGGCAAAGGAUGCCCAUCCAAACUGGCAGGGAAAGAAGGUGGACACAAAGGUGUAUGUUGACUUCAUAGAAGUCUCAAUAGUGCGCUCAUCAGUAAGAGCAGCAUGAGCAAGAAGAUCUCAUGGAAGUAGCAAAGAGGACCAAGACAAAGGUGGAUUAUGGGAUUUUAAGUAUAGUAUGAGCUUGGCUAUAUUGGUUGAUAAACAUAUCUUCCGUUAAUCUUGGAACAAUCUGGAUUUAGUUAGGUGAUUGUCAUCUUGAAGCAAAUUUGGCGAUGGAUUAUGAGUUUUUGGUGGAUCUACUUAGGUGAUUGCUAUCUUGAGGAGAUAGUCAAAGAUGUUUGAUGGAUUAUGAGAUUUUAGGUCUAGUAUGAGCAUGACUACUAUUAUAUUGGUGGAUACACAUAUUUUCAAUUAAUCUUGAAAUAAUUUGGAUUUAGUAUGUGAUUUUAAUCUUGAAGCAAAUUUGACGAUGGAUUAUGAGUUUUCGAUGGAUUUAAUUAGGUGAUUGUGAUCUUGAGGAGAUAUUAAAAAAUGUAAGGUGGAUUAUGAGAUUUUAGGUCUAGUACGUGAGAAUGGUGACGAUUAUAUUGGUGGAUAAACAUAUCUUCAAUUAAUCUUGGAACACUUUGGGUUUAGUUAGGUGAUUGUGAUUUUUAAAUCAAAAUUCAUGAUGGAUUAUGAUAUCUUAGCCUGGAUUUAGUUAGGUGAUUGUCAUAUUGAGAAGAUAGCCAAAGAUGUUCCAUGGAUUAUGAGAUUUUAGACAUAGUAUAAGCAUGUCUACAAUUAUAUGAACAAAUAAUCAUAUCUUCAAUUAAUCUUGGAAGAAUUUGGAUUUAUUUAGGUGAUUUUCAUCUUGAAGCAAAUUUGAUGAUGGAUUAUGAGAUUUUGAUGGAUUUAAUUAGGUGAUUGUGAUCUUGAAUAGAUAGACAAAGAUUCGGUGGAUUAUGAGGUUUUAGGACUAGUAUAAGCAUGGCUACUACUAUUUGUUAUAAACAUAUUUUUUAAUUAAUCUUAAAUUUUUUGGAUUUAGUUAGGUGAUUGUGAUCUUGAAGCAAAUUGGACGAUGGAUUAUGAGUUUUUGAUGGAUUUAAGUACGUGGUUGUGAUUUUGAGGAAAUCGUCAAAGUGUUCGGUGGAUUAUGGGAUUUGAGGUCUAGUACAUGUGAAUGGUGAUUAUGUUGGUGGAUAAACAGAUUUCCUUUUAAUUUUGGAACACUUUGGAUUUAGUUAAGAGAUAGUCGAAGUUGUUUGGUGGAUUAUGAGUUUGUGGUCGAUUUAGUUUGGUGAUUGUGAUCUUUAGGAGAUAGUUAAAAGGUGUUCGGUGGAUUAUGAGAUUCUAAGUCUAUUAUCAGCAUGGCUAUAUUAUAUUGGUGGAUAAACAUAUCUUUUGUUAAUUUUAGAACAAUUUGGAUUUAGUUAGUGAUUGUCACCUUGAUGCAAAUUUGAUGAUGGAUUAUGAGUUUUUGGUGGAUCUACUUAGGUGAUUGAGAUAAUGUGGAGAUACUCAAAGAUGUUCGGUGGAUUAUGAAAUUUUGGGUCUAGUAUGAGCAUGACUACUAUUAUAUUGGUGGAUAAACAUAUCAUUAAUUGAUGUUGAAAGAACUUUGAUUUAGUUAGGUGAUUAUCAUCUUGAAACAAAUUUGACGAUGGUUUAUGAGUUUUUAGUGGAUUUAGUUUCGUCCCUGUGAUUUUGUGGAGAUAGUCAAAGAUGUUCAGUGGAUUAUGAGGUUUUAGGGUUAGUAUGAGCAUGAUUACUUUUAUGUUGGUGGAUAAACAUAUCUUCAAUUAAUCUUGGAACAACUUGGAUUUAGGUAGGUGAUUAUCAUCUUGAAACAAAAUUGAUGAUGGUUUAUGAGUUUUUAGUGGAUUUAGUUAGGUCAUUGUGGUUUUGAGAAGAUAGUCGAAGAUGUUCGGUGAAUGAUGUGUUUUUGGUGGAUUUAGUUCGGAGAUUGUGAUCUUGAGGAUAUAGUUCAAGAUGCUCCGUGGAUUAUGAGAUUUUAAGUCUAGUAUGAGCAUGGCUAUAUUAUAUUGGUUGAUUAACAUAUCUUCCGUUAAUCUUGGAACAAUAUGGAUUUAGUUAGGCGAUUGUCAUCUUGUAGCAAAUUUGACGAUGGAUUAUUAGUUUUUGGUGGAUCUACUUAGGUGAUUGUGAUCUUUAGGAGAUAGUCAAAGAUGUUGUGUGGAUUAUGAGAUUUUAGGUCUAGUAUGAGCGUGACUAUUAUAUUGGUGUAUAACAUAUUUUCAAUUAAUCUUGGAAUAAUUAGGAUUUAGUCAUGUGAUUUUUUUCCUGAAACAAAUUUGACGAUGGAUUAUGAGUUUUGAUGGAUUUAAUUAGGCUGCGAUCUUGAGGAGAUAUUCAAAAAUGUUCGACGGAUUGUGAGAUUUUAGGUCUAGUACGUGAGAAUGGUGAUUAUUAUAUUGGUGGAUAUACAGAUCUUCAAUUAAUCUAGGAACACUCUGGAGUUAGUUAGGUGAUUGUGAUCUUGAGAAGAUAGUUAAAGAUGUUCGGUAGAUUAUGAGAUUCUAGGCCUAUUAGGUGAAUAUGGUGAUUAUUAUAUUAUUGAAUAGACAAAUCUUCAAGCAAUUUUGCAACACUUUAUAUUUAGUUAGGUGCUUGUGAUCUUGAACAAAAAUGCAGAUGAAUUACAAAAUUUUAGGUUGAUUUAGGUAGGUGAUUAUAAUCUUGAGAAGAUAUUAGGUGGAUUGUGAGUUUUUUGGGUUAAUAGAUGAGCAUGAUGAUUAUUAUAUUAUUGGAUAAACAAAACAAAUAUUUAGUUAAUCCAGGAAUAAUUUAAAUUUUUAUAGGUGAUUGUGAUCUUCAACUAAAUUUCACGAUGGAUAAUAAGAUUCUAGGUGGAUUUAGUUGGGUGAUUGUGUUAUUGAGCAGAUAGUCAAAGAUGUUUGGUGGAUUAUGAGAUUUUAGGCUAGUAAGUGAGCACGACUAUUAUUCUAUUGGUGGAUAAACAGAUCUUUAACUAAUCUUGGAGCAAUUUUGCUUUAGUUAGGUGAUUGUGAUCUUGAACCAAUUUCACGGUGGAUUAUGAGAUUUUAGAUGGAUUUAGUUAGGUAAUUGUGGUCUUCUGGAGAUGGUCAAAGAUGUUUGCUGUAUUAUGUGAUUUUAGGUAUAGUAUGGGCAUGCCUACUUUUAUAUUGGUAGAUUAACAUAUCUUCAAUUCAUUUUGGAAGAAUUUGGAUUUACUUAUGUGAUUGUGAUCUUGAAGCAAAUUUGAUGACGGAUUAUGAGUUUUUGGUGGAUUUAGUUUGUAGAUUGUGAUCUUGAGGAGAUGGUUAAAGUUCUUAGGUGGAUUAUGAGAUUUAAGUCUAGUAUGAGCAUGGCUAUAUUAUAUUGGUGAUAUAAACAUAUCAUUCGUUAAUCUUGAAACAAUAUGGAUUCAGUUAAACGAUGGAUUAUGACUUUUUGGUGGAUCUACUUAAGUGAUUGUGAUUUUGAGGAGAUAGUCAAAGGUGUUUGGUGGAUUAUGAGAUUUUGUGUCUAGUAUGAGCACGACUACUAUUAUAUUGAUGGAUAAACAUAUUUUCAAUUAAUCUUGAAAUAAUUUGGAUUUAGUUAGGUGAUUCCGCUCUUGAAGCAAAUUUGAUGAUGGAUUAUGAGUUUUUGAUCGAUUUAAUUAGUUGAUUGUCAUCUUGAGGAGAUAGUCAAAGUUUGGUGGAUUAUAAGAUUUGAUUAUUUUAUUGGUGGAUACACAGAUUUUUAAUUAAUUUUUGAGCAAUUUGGAUUUAGUUAGGUGAUUAUGAUCUUGAACCCAAUUUCACGAUAGAUUAUGAGAUUUUAGCUGGAUUCAGUUAGGUAAUUGUUGUCUUGUGGAGAUAGUCAAAGAUGUUUGGUGGAUUAUAAGAUUUUUGGUCUAGUAUGAGCAUGCCUACUAUUAUGUUGGUGGACAAACAUAUCAUUAAUUGAUGUUGAAAGAACUUUGAUUUAGUUAGGUGAUUAUCAUCUUAAAACAAAUUUGACAAUUGUUUAUGAGUUUUUAGUGGAUUUAGUUACGUCCCUGUGAUUUUGAGGAUAUAGUCAAAGAUUUUUGAGAUUUUAGGUCUACACCUAGUUUCAAUGGAUAUGCUGCCAUACGUGACACCUAAAGAAGCAGUUGCUAUUUACCCAACUCUUUCCCGUGCACAUCUUUGGCACAAGGUUCAUGAAAGUGUUGCUAUGGAUCUUUGCCAAGUUAUGGGUCAGGAGUUGGAUGCGCUGGAGAUUGAGACAGUACAGAAGGAGACAAUACAUCCAAGGAAGAGUUGCAACAUGAACAGUUCAUGUGCAGAUGUCCUUUUUGCUGCACAUAGGUGGCAGAUGUCCAAACCAAGCUUAGUUUCUGCGUCAAAGGAUGUCUUCGAUCAGAAAUCCAGUAACAAGCACUGGAUUGAUGUGCAACCAAGAUGGGGAGAUUACAAUUCACACGACAUAGAACUUUACGCAAGAGCAAAAUUUAUGGACUACGUGACAGAUAAUUUGUCCAUCUACCGUUCUCUGACUGGGGUGAUGAUUGGACUUGAUCUAGCUUAUAAUUUGCACUCUGAUUUUGGUAAUUGGUUCCCCGGGUCAAAGCCCCUCCUUCAGCAAGCAAUGAAUAAGAUCAUGAAGUCAAAUCCUGCUCUGUAUGUGCUGAGGGAGAGAGAGAAUAGGAAACGGUCUUCAGUUCUAUUCAUCUGAACCCACCGCCCACCGAGCCAUAUGUCUUCACAGAACUACGGUACGGAGAGAUAUUCAGCAAUCAAAUCAUAUGGUUUGUUGAUGACACAAAUGUCUAUCGAGUUACGAUUCACAAAACUGUGGGUAACCUAACGGCCAAACCAAUCAAUGGUCCUAUCUUUAUUUACCGAAAAAGGCUUUCGCCCUGCUUUAUAGAUAAAGCAAACCACCACAGCCAAACGGUACAACAUAAGUUCACCCGCACACACACACACACACAGUCGCACAACAUAGAGUACAAAUAGGUUCUGCUGAGGGCACAGCUCAACAAGCCCUGAAAAAGAAAAAAUGAAGGCGGGUCAACCGCAGCAGCAUCCAAGGAUCUAAUCCGGCUCGGGUGGUACCUAUCUUUAUUUUUAAUCCAAGAACUGGUCAACCAACUAUUUCUGAAGGAGACUGGCUAUACUUACAUCAUGCCAAAGAAUAUAUUGAAGAAUUUGAUAUGCAUAGCAGAUCUACGGACACAGGUUGUAGGUUUCCUGUAUGGGCUGAUUCCACGGGAUAACCCUCAAGUCAAGGAGAUGAGAUGCAUAUCCAUUCCGCCACAGCAUGGAGGUCACCAAAUGGUGAAUUUGCCAGCGAAUCUCCCAGAGCAUGAGUUCCUUGCUGACUUGCAGCCAUUGGGACCCAGCCGAAUGAAGCUCCUCAGCUAUCACCUCAGGAUUUGGCAUGACAUGCUAAAAUUUUGGAGAAGAACAAGGCGUGGCAUGGUGAAAAGUCCAUCAUUUUGACCUGCCGGUGAACAACUUGGGUCAGUGGUUAUGUUUGCGAGAAGAAAAAAACCUAUCGUGGUCAGUGGUUAUCACUUGUCAAACUGAAUCGUUAUCGUCAAGUGGAUGUUUUGCUUGGUGUUAUCACCCUUGCCUCGUUGAUUCUUUAUGAUUUGAGCUUCUUUGUUGAAGUUUAAUGUGUUAUGUUCAUCUGGUUACUCCUCUUCUUAAGAUUGGAGCACUUGCAGAUUUCUGUUGCUAGAUUAAGUUUACUAUGUCGGUCAUUGUUUGGUUAUAUAUCUCCGUCAGUCAGUUUUGUGACUGAGAGCAAAUCAGUUGUUCUGGACCUUGUCAAACCUCAGCUAUUGCUUGAGCCAGUUCUGGGAUGGUGACGCCUUGAAGAGUCUGGUUAAAGCAAGCCAGGGCAUCACUCGUUGCCACGUAAUAACCGACACCUGACAGCAAUAGCAGUGGAUGUUUCUUCUUCCUUGUGACUAGAGUUGUUUUGACAGUAACUUGGAUUAUGAGGCACAGGCAUCAUUGGGCCAGCAGUCUGAAGGUAGAGGAAGGUGCAUGGCAGCACAUGAUCCGUCCUGUACCAGCAAUGGAGAGGAAAUCUAUAGAAAUGGAAGAGAGGAGAUUUAGUGUACUACCAUCCAUCCAUGGGAUCCAUCCAAUACUACCAUCGUGUUGUGUAAUGAGUCGAUGUUUCAGUAUCAUCUUCACAAAAAAGAUGCUUCAGCAUCCCAUGCCAGAGACCUGACAUCGCCGGAGAGGCGGCGAGCGGAGAAGGCUGAGGAGGGGCUGAGGACGGUCAUGUACCUCAGCUGCUGGGGCCCAAAUUAGGAGUACUAUUAGUUGGGGGUGUUGAGUUCGUUGCAGCUUAUGCUUAUGUUAUGUGACAAUCCCCACAUGAUCGGUUGUAAAGAUACCAUGAUGAUGACAAUGAUGAAAAUUUCGGCUAUGAGUUUACAUCA
Triticum aestivum (bread wheat) is the source of this 12178-nucleotide long non-coding RNA. RefSeq lists it as uncharacterized. The transcript is spliced from 11 exons. Lineage: Eukaryota; Viridiplantae; Streptophyta; Magnoliopsida; Poales; Poaceae. The record is from RefSeq and is a predicted model, not a curated record.